GAUGAAGAACGUAGCGAAAUGCGAUAAGUAGUGUGAAUUGCAGACUUUAGUGAAUCAUCGAAUCUUUGAACGCACAUUGCGCCCCUUGGUAUUCCAUUGGGCAUGCCUGUUCGAGCGUCAUUUACAACCUCAAGCUCCGCUUGGUGUUGGGUGUCUGUCUGCGCUUCUUGCGAAGACUCGCCCUAAAUCUAUUGGCAGCGGCAUCGCCGGCUUCUCGCGCAGUACAAUGCGUUAUGGAAGGCUGCCGGCGGGCUUGCGUCCAUCAAGUAACCCCCCAAGUUUGACCUCGAAUCAGGUAGGGAUACCCGCUGAACUUAAGCAUAUCAAUAAGCGGAGGA
Molecule: unclassified non-coding RNA, 338 nt
Filed under: soil metagenome
Description: partial contains 5.8S ribosomal RNA, internal transcribed spacer 2, and large subunit ribosomal RNA
Rfam family: 5.8S ribosomal RNA (bases 1-120)
Source: RNAcentral